RNAcentral lists this ribosomal RNA (261 nucleotides) under uncultured bacterium. RNAcentral's name for it is "partial 16S ribosomal RNA". The record is from RNAcentral.
GGACUACCGGGGUAUCUAAUCCUUCUUGCUACCCAAGCCUUCGUCCCUCAACGUCAGUUUUUACAUAGAAGGUUGCCUUCGCCUAUAUCAGUCCUUUUAGUAUCAUAAAAUUUUAUCUCUACUCUAAAAGUUCUCACCUUCUCUUAUAAAACUCUAGUAAAAAAGUACCCUAUAAGGAUUUAAUUUACUGUCUAGGUACCCUUUAAACCUAAUAAAGAUGACUAACACUAGUCUUUUACGUAUUACCGCGGCUGCUGGCAC